AUACUUACCUGGCAGGGGAGAUACCAUGAUCAAGUAGGUGGUUUUCCCAGGGCGAGGCCCACCCAUUGCACUAGGGGUGUGCUGACCCCUGCGAUUUCCCCAAAUGCGGGAAACUCGACUGCAUAAUUUGUGUUAGUGGGGGACUGCGUUCGCGCUCUCCCCUG
Small nuclear RNA from Cricetulus griseus (Chinese hamster), 164 nucleotides. Its record names the gene U1. It matches the Rfam family "U1 spliceosomal RNA". From Rfam's summary of the family: U1 is a small nuclear RNA (snRNA) component of the spliceosome (involved in pre-mRNA splicing). Its 5' end forms complementary base pairs with the 5' splice junction, thus defining the 5' donor site of an intron. The record is from Ensembl. Lineage: Eukaryota; Metazoa; Chordata; Mammalia; Rodentia; Cricetidae.